CACAGGCAGUGACGGGGCGUCUGACCCCCGGGAGCUUGCCACUCUUGGCACCCACCAGAUCACCAGCAGCCAUGCCAAAGCCUGCCCCUCGCCCAGCCAUGCCGCUCAUGCUGCCUCGAAGGCGGAGACCCACAAGCUGCUCUCAAGGCAGCACGGCGUGUCUGUUCCAGCAGCUGCUUCUGCGGAAGAACCUGCAGCCGUCCCCGUCUGAGUGCCCAGAGCAUCCUUUGCUCAGUCACAGAAAAUAGGCAGCUCAACGGAUGGGUUCUGCUCGGAGGGCAGCCCCACAGUGACUCAAGGACAAGCCUGCUGGGGUCCCCACGGCCCGGCCCCUCACCCCCGGGGCCCCCAGAGCUGCCGUGCUCACUCAAGCCUGUGACCGCUGCCUGCUGUCUGCAGCCAAGCCCGCCUGCUCCUGUCUGCCCAGCAGGCUGCACCACCCGACAGCCACAGUGACGCUGGGCAUGUGUGAGCUCUCUGCAGAGUCCACAGUCCUGGGGCUACCGCUCCAAGGAGAGGCGAGUGGAGGAGGCUGAUCUCUGCUCACCUCAGCUGCUCUGACCCUGGACCUCUGCAGAACCAUCCCAGGACGCAGGCGGUUGGGCCGACUGGGUGCCGUCUGCCUUCCUUCCUUGCUGCCCUCCCCAUCUGCUGUCAGACCUUUAUUAAAGAUCGGGGCCCUAAUCUCACCUCAUAUA
This is a long non-coding RNA of Tupaia belangeri chinensis (Chinese tree shrew), 698 nucleotides long. RefSeq lists it as uncharacterized. The transcript has 3 exons. Lineage: Eukaryota; Metazoa; Chordata; Mammalia; Scandentia; Tupaiidae. The record is from RefSeq and is a predicted model, not a curated record.